GGCCUAUACAUGCAAGUCGAACGGUAACAUUGGUGCUUGCACCAGAUGACGAGUGGCGCACGGGUGCGUAACGCGUAUGCAACCUACCUUUUACUAGAGUAUAGCCCAGAGAAAUUUGGAUUAAUCCUCUAUAACAUCUUUUAAUUUCAUGAUUUUAAGAUUAAAGUUUUAACGGUAAAAGAUGGGCAUGCGUCCUAUUAGUUUGUAGGUGAGGUAACGGCUCACCUAGACUACGAUAGGUAGGGGCCCUGAGAGGGGGAUCCCCCACACUGGUACUGAGACACGGACCAGACUCCUACGGGAGGCAGCAGUAAGGAAUAUUGGACAAUGGACGAAAGUCUGAUCCAGCCAUGCCGCGUGCAGGAUGACAGCCCUACGGGUUGUAAACUGCUUUUAUACAGGAAGAAACACUCCGACGUGUCGGAGCUUGACGGUACUGUAAGAAUAAGGAUCGGCUAACUCCGUGCCAGCAGCCGCGGUAAUACGGAGGAUCCAAGCGUUAUCCGGAAUCAUUGGGUUUAAAGGGUCCGCAGGCUGUUUUUUAAGUCAGAGGUGAAAUCCUACAGCUCAACUGUAGAACUGCCUUUGAUACUGGAAAACUUGAGUUAUUGUGAAGUGGUUAGAAUGUGUGGUGUAGCGGUGAAAUGCAUAGAUAUCACACAGAAUACCGAUUGCGAAGGCAGAUCACUAACCAUAUACUGACGCUCAUGGACGAAAGCGUGGGGAGCGAACAGGA
RNAcentral lists this ribosomal RNA (736 nucleotides) under uncultured marine bacterium. RNAcentral describes it as "bacterial SSU rRNA". It matches the Rfam family "Bacterial small subunit ribosomal RNA", at positions 45 to 777 of the family's 1533-position model. The record is from RNAcentral.